CUGUUCAAAAUAAUGAAAGAAAUUCGGAUUUUAAAUCAUCUUGUCUCCGAGAGAGCAAAACCGUGUGGAGAUUUUCCGUUGCCUUCCUUCUGAUUCAAGAA
RNAcentral lists this small nucleolar RNA (101 nucleotides) under Drepanopeziza brunnea f. sp. 'multigermtubi' MB_m1. RNAcentral's name for it is "Marssonina brunnea f. sp. 'multigermtubi' MB_m1 Small nucleolar RNA Z13/snr52". It matches the Rfam family "Small nucleolar RNA Z13/snr52". From Rfam's summary of the family: Z13 or snr52 is a member of the C/D class of snoRNA which contain the C (UGAUGA) and D (CUGA) box motifs. Most of the members of the box C/D family function in directing site-specific 2'-O-methylation of substrate RNAs. The record is from Rfam by way of RNAcentral. Lineage: Eukaryota; Fungi; Ascomycota; Leotiomycetes; Helotiales; Drepanopezizaceae.